GCGGUAGCACCGCCUCGGCCCCGGCCCCGGCCCCGGCCUGCGGAGGUCUGCCUCCCGGGGAGGGGGAGGAGGCAGGGGAAAGGACAGCAAGCGGAACACCCCCCGCGAACUAAAAAAGGAAAGGGAAAAAAACACCCAAACAAAACAAACCGGGAAAAAGGGGCUCCUUCGUGGGACAUCUUUAAAGCUCAGCACUACGCCAGGCAUCCGAGUCCCAGUAAAACCCACCACGGUAGUGAAACGCACCACAGUAACGGGAGGAAAGCUGGCUGCGGCCGCUGCGCCGAAGUCCUGCAUGCUUUAGAGUCGCCUUGGCUUUCGGGCUGGAGGAUGAUUCCUGCAACAGGACCGUUUUGCUGCUGACGAACCGCGGGGGUCAUGGGAAGAUGCCUUCCUUGAGGAUUACACGUGGAGAAAGGCCAUCAGUCAAGGGGAGAGCUGGCUGGUGAAGCUGUCUGACUUUCCCCCCACCACCACCCCCCCUCCCCCCUCACCGGGGAGGUGGCUUCAAUGGCUCCAUCUCCCAGGAGAAGCAGUAGGAAAGAUGCCAACGCCUUGCCAAGCAUGUCCUCAACUUUCUGGGCUAUUAUGAUCCUGGCUAGUCUCCUAAUCGCUUACUGCAAUUAUAACAGCUAUUUUGGAGCGGAUAACCCUCAAUGGCUGUAUAUGAGACAUUGCCCGGGGUGCUUCCAAGAUGCUUUUGAGCUGGGUCAACUGGCUGCAGGUACAUGUGAGAUUGUUACUUUGGACAGAGAUAGCAGUCAGCCCCGAAGGACUAUAGCCCGACAAACAGCUCGCUGUGCAUGUAAAAAAGGACAGAUUGCCGGUACAACAAGAGCAAGGCCAGCCUGUGUUGAUGCACGAAUUAUCAAAACAAAACAGUGGUGUGAAAUGCUUCCAUGUUUAGAAGGAGAAGGCUGUGAUUUGCUAAUCAAUAAAUCAGGCUGGACCUGUACACAACCAGGAGGACGGAUAAAGACAACCACGACUGAAGACCAGCUGGAAAUGUCCUGAGGCCAUGGUCUAGUGGUCUGAGCUUGGGACUGGGAGCCAGAAACUCCUGAGCUCUAAUCCCGGCUCUGACAGUGACUCCCUCUGUGGCCUUGGCCUGUCUGAGGCCAUGUGGUUUGGAGAUCUGAUCACUAGUCCGAAAAGGAAAGGCUGUUUGCAAGAUUUCUGGGGUGUUUUUUCCUGGAAAAGGUCUCCUGACAAAUGCAGCAACACAGAAUCCUCGUAGGAGUGGUUUAGGCUCUCUGUGAGCUCCUUAACUUAGUCAAGUUUCACUGCUGUGGAUCAUCGUCUGUUAUAUGUCAUCAACUCAGCUGUCUGUUUCUCUGUAUCUCAUGAAUGACAGCAUAAUUUCUCUACAUUAUGAGCUAAAGUUUGUUCUACCAUACUAAGGAUCACUGGACUAAGGAAUAUAGAAAAAAAUAUAUGCUUGGGCAUUAGCAAUACAAAAAAGUUCAUGGUUAACGUUUCAUCUGCGUUAUACACCACUGCUGGACUCGCUGUUACCUACAUGUUUUGAUCUGAAGAGUCUGCUACAAUGAAGAGUAUCAUCCCAAUCAGCCUUAGAGAAGACUGUUUUGCCUAUGGGAGGACACUGAGGUGCAAAAGAGAAACUCUUCUUGUGCCCUAAACUGUCUGAAUUGCUUUUAUUUUCUUAUACUUUCAGUAUAUACAAUAGACCAAAGAGCAAAAUCUAUUUUAAAGUGGACACAAUCUUACUGUUAACAGAGUUAUGUCAUUAAAUUGUAGGAGGUCUCCACAAGGACAUGAUUCCAGCUUUCACAAAGCUGAGAUGCUCUUGUCCAGCAUAAGUCUCUAUGGAAAGCUGCAGUAAAAACUAACUCAGAGACCUGCUCUUGAAAUGCCACGUUUGAGAAAACAUAAUGGAGCACUGAGAGAAAAUGACCUAUGUUUGAAAAACUUGGACAAAAAGAACACAAACUGUCUACACAGCACCUUUAUUCCUCUGUACUUAGAUUGACUUUCUCGUACUAAAAUCAUUUUCAGUUUUAACCAGUUAAACAUGCCUCUUCUACAGUUCCAUUUUUGAUAGUUAAAGUUGGAUAAUACAGUAUUUGCAAAGAGCAUGUUUGGUCAUCUGUGGCCUAUGUCUCAUCUGAUACACCAUUUAGCACCAGAAAGCAAAUUAAAGAGAAAACAAAAGUAACACUUGUUUGAAAGAGAUCAUUAAAUGUAUUUUGAAAAGCCUAAAGUUAUAUAUUUAACAGUUUUUAUAUGUUGUAUAUUUGUAGAAAAUCCUAUUUAACAAUUAACGUGAUAACUCUGACAGUCAUGACAAGUGGUUCAGAGUUAAGUUGUGUUUUAUUACUUCAGUUGUCUCUGAAGUGACUGGUGUCGUUUGCUUUCUUCCAUUGGGACAUUCUGGAUGUAAAGCAUGACCAGAGAGGACUGUGUAGAAAAAGCAAAGAAUAAUGUUGUUUAUAUUACAUAAAUGCAUUCAACCAUUGCA
RNA transcript from Tyto alba (common barn owl), 2479 nucleotides. It is a transcript of the gene named TAFA chemokine like family member 5, with no coding region annotated. The transcript has 7 exons. The record is from RefSeq and is a predicted model, not a curated record. Lineage: Eukaryota; Metazoa; Chordata; Aves; Strigiformes; Tytonidae.